CCCUAGCCCCGAUGGGAGCGGCAUCCUUUUGUCGUGCCGCGGCGGACAAAAGAUAUAGCGGACAGCGGGAUUAGCU
RNAcentral lists this small RNA (76 nucleotides) under Flavobacterium resistens. RNAcentral's name for it is "Flavo-1 RNA". It matches the Rfam family "Flavo-1 RNA". The record is from RNAcentral. Lineage: Bacteria; Pseudomonadati; Bacteroidota; Flavobacteriia; Flavobacteriales; Flavobacteriaceae.